RNAcentral lists this ribosomal RNA (705 nucleotides) under uncultured bacterium. RNAcentral's name for it is "bacterial SSU rRNA". It matches the Rfam family "Bacterial small subunit ribosomal RNA", at positions 790 to 1491 of the family's 1533-position model. The record is from RNAcentral.
GUAGUCCACGCCGUAAACGAUGAGUGCUAAGUGUUAGGGGGUUUCCGCCCCUUAGUGCUGCAGCUAACGCAUUAAGCACUCCGCCUGGGGAGUACGACCGCAAGGUUGAAACUCAAAGGAAUUUGACGGGGGACCCGCACAAGCGGUGGAGCAUGUGGUUUAAUUCGAAGCAACGCGAAGAACCUUACCAAAUCUUGACAUCCUUUGAAAACUCUAGAGAUAGAGCUUUCCCCUUCGGGGGGACAAAGUGACAGGUGGUGCAUGGUUGUCGUCAGCUCGUGUCGUGAGAUGUUGGGUUAAGUCCCGCAACGAGCGCAACCUUAAGCUUAGUUGCCAUCAUUAAGUUGGGCACUCUAGGUUGACUGCCGGUGACAAACCGGAGGAAGGUGGGGAUGACGUCAAAUCAUCAUGCCCCUUAUGAUUUGGGCUACACACGUGCUACAAUGGACAAUACAAAGGGCAGCUAAACCGCGAGGUCAUGCAAAUCCCAUAAAGUUGUUCUCAGUUCGGAUUGCAGUCUGCAACUCGACUACAUGAAGCUGGAAUCGCUAGUAAUCGUAGAUCAGCAUGCUACGGUGAAUACGUUCCCGGGUCUUGUACACACCGCCCGUCACACCAUGGGAGUUGGUCUUACCCGACGGCGCUGCGCCAACCGCAAGGGGGCAGGCGACCACGGUAGGGUCAGCGACUGGGGUGAAGUCGUAA